CAGCCGCCACGGUAAUACGAAGGGGGCUAGCGUUGUUCGGAAUUACUGGGCGUAAAGCGCACGUAGGCGGAUAUUUAAGUCAGGGGUGAAAUCCCGCAGCUCAACUGCGGAACUGCCUUUGAUACUGGGUAUCUUGAGUAUGGAAGAGGUUAGUGGAAUUGCGAGUGUAGAGGUGAAAUUCGUAGAUAUUCGCAGGAACACCAGUGGCGAAGGCGGCUAACUGGUCCAUAACUGACGCUGAGGUGCGAAAGCGUGGGGAGCAAACAGGAUUAGAUACCCGCGUAGUCCCUGUCUCUUAUAC
Molecule: ribosomal RNA, 301 nt
Filed under: uncultured bacterium
Lineage: Bacteria
Description: partial 16S ribosomal RNA
Rfam family: Bacterial small subunit ribosomal RNA
Source: RNAcentral